CAGUCGCCACGGGAAUACGUAGGGUGCAAGCGUUAAUCGGAAUUACUGGGCGUAAAGCGUGCGCAGGCGGUUAUAUAAGACAGAUGUGAAAUCCCCGGGCUCAACCUGGGAACUGCAUUUGUGACUGUAUAGCUAGAGUACGGCAGAGGGGGAUGGAAUUCCGCGUGUAGCAGUGAAAUGCGUAGAUAUGCGGAGGAACACCGAUGGCGAAGGCAAUCCCCUGGGCCUGUACUGACGCUCAUGCACGAAAGCGUGGGGAGCAAACAGGAUUAGAUACCCCUGUAGUCCCUGUCUUUUAUAC
This 301-nucleotide ribosomal RNA is filed under the name uncultured bacterium. RNAcentral's name for it is "partial 16S ribosomal RNA". It matches the Rfam family "Bacterial small subunit ribosomal RNA", at positions 509 to 809 of the family's 1533-position model. The record is from RNAcentral.